GAGUUUGAUCGUGGCUCAGGACGAACGCUGGCGGCAUGCCUAAUACAUGCAAGUCGAACGAAGUCUUUAGGAAGCUUGCUUCCAAAGAGACUUAGUGGCGAACGGGUGAGUAACACGUAGGUAACCUGCCCAUGUGCCCGGGAUAACUGCUGGAAACGGUAGCUAAAACCGGAUAGGUAUGAGGGAGGCAUCUUCCUCAUAUUAAAGCACCUUCGGGUGUGAACAUGGAUGGACCUGCGGCGCAUUAGCUGGUUGGUGAGGUAACGGCCCACCAAGGCGAUGAUGCGUAGCCGACCUGAGAGGGUGAACGGCCACAUUGGGACUGAGACCACGGCCCAAAACUCCUACGGGAGGCGGCAGUAGGGAAUAUUGGGCAAUGGACGCAAGUCUGACCCAGCAACGCCGCGUGAAGGAAGAAGGCUUUCGGGUUGUAAACUUCUUUUGUCAGGGAAGAGUAGAAGACGGUACCUGACGAAUAAGCCACGGCUAACUACGUGCCAGCAGCCGCUGUAAC
This 514-nucleotide ribosomal RNA is filed under the name uncultured bacterium. RNAcentral describes it as "bacterial SSU rRNA". It matches the Rfam family "Bacterial small subunit ribosomal RNA", at positions 9 to 524 of the family's 1533-position model. The record is from RNAcentral.